Molecule: ribosomal RNA, 460 nt
Filed under: uncultured bacterium
Lineage: Bacteria
Description: partial 16S ribosomal RNA
Rfam family: Bacterial small subunit ribosomal RNA
Source: RNAcentral
CCUACGGGUGGCAGCAGUGAGGAAUAUUGGUCAAUGGGCUUACGCCUGAACCAGCCAAGUCGCGUGAGGGAAGACUGCCCUAUGGGUUGUAAACCUCUUUUGUCAGGGAGCAACGCCGGCUACGUGUAGCCGGACUGAGAGUACCUGAAGAAAAAGCAUCUGCUAACUCCGUGCCAGCAGCCGCGGUAAUACGGAGGAUGCGAGCGUUAUCCGGAUUUAUUGGGUUUAAAGGGUGCGUAGGCGGAAUGCCAAGUCAGCGGUAAAAUCGCGGGGCUCAACCUCGCUCCGCCGUUGAAACUGGCGUGCUUGAGUGGGGGAGAAGUAUGCGGAAUGCGUGGUGUAGCGGUGAAAUGCAUAGAUAUCACGCAGAACUCCGAUUGCGAAGGCAGCAUACCGGCGCCCAACUGACGCUGAAGCACGAAAGCGUGGGUAUCGAACAGGAUUAGAUACCCUAGUAGUC